CCCGACGGGCGCACUUGCAAAUCGCCGCUGUUGCCCCCAUCAUCCGGGCAUGGUUGUAAUUCCGGCAAUCUGGAGGCGUUCUGGACGCGGGUUCGAUUCCCGCCACCUCCACCCAAGCGUUUUGAAGGUCUGAGCAGCACGUUUGGGUGGGGGUGCAUUGGUUUCGACAGGGCGGGCGAAGGUGAGCAGGCAACUCGUCAGGCGAUCGACGUUAAUGAAGCAAAUCUACAAACGCCAACGAUGAGCGUUUCGCACUGGCCGCUUAAGGUCUAUGCCGAGGCUGCUUGAGCCUUGUUACCAAAGAAAAGCCGGCGGGGACUUCGGUCCCCGUCGUCA
This 336-nucleotide transfer-messenger RNA is filed under the name Rhodocyclus tenuis. RNAcentral's name for it is "Betaproteobacteria transfer-messenger RNA". It matches the Rfam family "Betaproteobacteria transfer-messenger RNA". Rfam says of the family: Bacterial tmRNA, also known as 10Sa RNA or SsrA, is named for its dual tRNA and mRNA-like properties. Its role is to liberate the mRNA from a stalled ribosome. The record is from Rfam by way of RNAcentral. Lineage: Bacteria; Pseudomonadati; Pseudomonadota; Betaproteobacteria; Rhodocyclales; Rhodocyclaceae.